AUGAAAGUGGGGGACCGCAAGGCCUCACGCUUUUGGAGCGGCCGAUGUCCGAUUAGCUAGUUGGUGGGGUAAAGGCCUACCAAGGCGACGAUCGGUAGCUGGUCUGAGAGGAUGAUCAGCCACACUGGGACUGAGACACGGCCCAGACUCCUACGGGAGGCAGCAGUGGGGAAUUUUGGACAAUGGGGGGAACCCUGAUCCAGCCAUGCCGCGUGCGGGAAGAAGGCCUUCGGGUUGUAAACCGCUUUUGGUCGGAAAGAAAAGGCGCACUCUAAUACGGUGCGUUCUUGACGGUACCGGCAGAAUAAGCACCGGCUAACUACGUGCCAGCAGCCGCGGUAAUACGUAGGGUGCGAGCGUUAAUCGGAAUUACUGGGCGUAAAGCGUGCGCAGGCGGUUCUAUAAGACAGAUGUGAAAUCCCCGGGCUCAACCUGGGAACUGCAUUUGUGACUGUAGAGCUGGAGUACGGCAGAGGGGGAUGGAAUUCCGCGUGUAGCAGUGAAAUGCGUAUAUAUGCGGAGGAACACCGAUGGCGAAGGCAAUCCCCUGGGCCUGUACUGACGCUCGUGCACGA
This 575-nucleotide ribosomal RNA is filed under the name uncultured bacterium. Its description in RNAcentral is "bacterial SSU rRNA". It matches the Rfam family "Bacterial small subunit ribosomal RNA", at positions 200 to 756 of the family's 1533-position model. The record is from RNAcentral.